Molecule: ribosomal RNA, 440 nt
Filed under: uncultured bacterium
Lineage: Bacteria
Description: partial 16S ribosomal RNA
Rfam family: Bacterial small subunit ribosomal RNA
Source: RNAcentral
CCUACGGGAGGCUGCAGUGGGGAAUAUUGCACAAUGGGGGAAACUCUGAUGCAGCAACGCCGCGUGAGUGAAGACGUAUUUCUGUAUGUAAAGCUCUUUCAGCAGGGAAGAAGAUGACGGUACCUGUAUAAGAAGCCCCGGAUAACUACGUGCCGGCACCAGCGGCAAUACGUAGGGGGCAAGCGUAAUCCGGAUUGACUGGGUGUAAAGGGGGCGCAGACGGCUGUGCAAGUCGGGAGUGAAAGCCCGGGGCCCAACCGCGGAAUUGGUCUUGAAACUGUGCGGCUAGAGUACUGGAGGGGCAGGCGGAAUUCGUGGUGUAGCGGUGAAAUGCGUAGAUAUUAGGAGGAACACCGGUUGCGAAGGCGGCCUGCUAGACAGUAACUGACGUUGAGGCUCGAAAGUGUGGGGAGCAAACAGGAUUAGAUACCCCGGUAGUC